RNAcentral lists this ribosomal RNA (436 nucleotides) under uncultured soil bacterium. RNAcentral's name for it is "bacterial SSU rRNA". It matches the Rfam family "Bacterial small subunit ribosomal RNA", at positions 26 to 467 of the family's 1533-position model. The record is from RNAcentral.
AGGACGAACGCUGGCGGCGUGCUUAACACAUGCAAGUCAAGGGGGCGGAGCAAUCUGCAACCGGCGAACGGGUGCGUAACACGUGAGCGACCUAUCGUGGUGUGGGGGAUAGCCGGCCCAACGGCUGGGUAAUACCGCAUGCGCUCCUUGGGGGGCAUCCCUUGGGGAGGAAAGUCUUCGGACGCACGGCGAGGGGCUCGCGGCCUAUCAGCUAGUUGGUGGGGUCAUGGCUCACCAAGGCAUCGACGGGUAGCUGGUCUGAGAGGACGGCCAGCCACAUUGGGACUGGAGACUACGGCCCAAGACCUCCGUACGGGAGGCAGCAGGUGGGGAAUCUUGCGCAAGUGGCCUAAGGCUGACGCAGCGACGCGCGUGUGGACGGACGCGUCGUUCGGGGUAUAAACCCGUCUCGGUUCGGACCCCGGGAACGAAACCG